GGGGCUGUAGUGAUAAUGGCUAGCACAUCUGCCUUGCACGCAGAAAAUAGGGGUUCAAAUCCCCUCAGUUCCA
RNAcentral lists this transfer RNA (73 nucleotides) under Caudoviricetes sp. RNAcentral's name for it is "tRNA-Ala". It matches the Rfam family "tRNA". From Rfam's summary of the family: Transfer RNA (tRNA) molecules are approximately 80 nucleotides in length. The record is from RNAcentral. Lineage: Duplodnaviria; Heunggongvirae; Uroviricota; Caudoviricetes.